This is a long non-coding RNA of Pistacia vera, 508 nucleotides long. RefSeq lists it as uncharacterized. The record is from RefSeq and is a predicted model, not a curated record. The transcript has 5 exons. NCBI's taxonomy places the organism in Eukaryota, Viridiplantae, Streptophyta, Magnoliopsida, Sapindales, Anacardiaceae.
ACUAUAUCAGAUGCUCAGUAUCCAUGCUAGUAAUCAGCUAUAGUUUUUGGCUCCUCUCACUCCAAUUCUGAGGUGCCCUCUGCUUCUUAAUGGGAGAGAGGAUUAUAAUGGUGUUGGAUACCUUUUUGUCUUUUCUGGAAGGAAGGAUAUUCAUGAUUAACACCCCUCAUUGGAGUUGCAGUCCCUAGGUCAUAUCAUGGCGAUCCUGUUCUAAAUCCUCUCACACCUUGGGAGAGACCACCUAUAAAAAAUAUUUUUUGCAUCUAUGGAAUAGACUCAAAGACUGAGGUGGGAUACUACUUUGCACCAAGUGGCAAGCCUUACCCUGAUAAUUGGAUCAUAACAGAUGUCAUUUAUGAGAUUGAAGGAUCUCUGUUCUCAAGGUCAGGGAAUCAAGUUGAAGGAAAUCCAGGAAGAGCAAGUGGAGAUGAGACGGUACCAUACAAUUCUCUCUCUUGGUGUAAGAGUUGGCUUGGACCAAAAGUAAACAUAACUAGGGCUCCUCAGG